This 24-nucleotide non-coding RNA is filed under the name Rattus norvegicus (Norway rat). Lineage: Eukaryota; Metazoa; Chordata; Mammalia; Rodentia; Muridae. The record is from RNAcentral.
UCUUUGUGCUUUUCAAAUGUUUGC